GACGUAGGGUGCGAGCGUUGUCCGGAUUUAUUGGGCGUAAAGAGCUCGUAGGCGGCUUGUCGCGUCUGCUGUGAAAACUCGGGGCUUAACUCCGGGCCUGCAGUGGGUACGGGCAGACUAGAGUGCGGUAGGGGAGACUGGAAUUCCUGGUGUAGCGGUGAAAUGCGCAGAUAUCAGGAGGAACACCGGUGGCGAAGGCGGGUCUCUGGGCCGUAACUGACGCUGAGGAGCGAAAGCGUGGGGAGCGAACAGG
Molecule: ribosomal RNA, 253 nt
Filed under: uncultured bacterium
Lineage: Bacteria
Description: partial 16S ribosomal RNA
Rfam family: Bacterial small subunit ribosomal RNA
Source: RNAcentral